Neofelis nebulosa (Clouded leopard) is the source of this 475-nucleotide long non-coding RNA. RefSeq lists it as uncharacterized. NCBI's taxonomy places the organism in Eukaryota, Metazoa, Chordata, Mammalia, Carnivora, Felidae. The record is from RefSeq and is a predicted model, not a curated record. The transcript has 2 exons.
AAAAAUUCAGAUUCCUGGCGACUAGUUCAGUCCCACGUUAUUGGAAUAAAUUUGAGAGCGGGGCCCAGGUAUCUGCAUUUUAAAUGCACCCAGGUGAUUCUUUGGCCCGCUGAAAUUGUAUAGCCAUUACCUCUUAGACCAAUAAGUUGGAUGAUCUAGUAUGUAAUCAGCACUCAGAUUCUAUCCAUAGAUGGAAGUUUAGGACAGAAUAGAGAAUUGAUUAUAUUUACCUUGAGAUACAGAAAGCUGGUAGAGUGACUCUUUCUGAGGUUUUCUUAAAUUCAUCUGUGAUCUUUACUAUAACAUACAGUAAAAUUUUGGUUAAAAUAUACAUAUAUACAGGAUUAGUGUUCUUUGUAAUAAAUUGGUAAAGUUGAUUGUAUAUUCUAGAUAAGUGCAUGCACUUAGAAAAAUGGUAAAAUGAAUGUCUUCUGUUAAGUUGUGUAAUAAAAUUAGAUACAGUUUUCAGACUAAA